GACGAACGCUGGCGGCGUGCUUAACACAUGCAAGUCGAACGGAAAGGCCCUGCUUUUGUGGGGUUCUCGAGUGGCGAACGGGUGAGUAACACGUGAGUAACCUGCCCUUGACUUUGGGAUAACUUCAGGAAACUGGGGCUAAUACCGGAUAGGAGCUCCUGUUGCAUGGUGGGGGUUGGAAAGUUUCGGCGGGUGGGGAUGGACUCGCGGCUUAUGAGCUUGUUGGUGGGGUAGUGGCUUGCCAAGGCUUUGACCGGUAGCCGGCCUGAGAGGGUGACCGGCGACAUUGGGACUGAGAUACGGCCCAGACGCCUACGGGAGGCAGAAGUGGGGAAUAUUGCACAAUGGGCGGAAGCCUGAUGCAGCAACGCCGCGUGCGGGAUGACGGCCUUCGGGUUGUAAACCGCUUUCGCCUGUGACGAAGCGUGAGUGACGGUAAUGGGUAAAGAAGCACCGGCUAACUACGUG
RNAcentral lists this ribosomal RNA (468 nucleotides) under uncultured bacterium. Its description in RNAcentral is "partial 16S ribosomal RNA". It matches the Rfam family "Bacterial small subunit ribosomal RNA", at positions 28 to 507 of the family's 1533-position model. The record is from RNAcentral.